CUGGCUCAGAACGAACGUUGGCGACACGUUUUAAGCAUGCAAGCCGAGCGGGAACCAUUCUUCGGAGUGGGGAGAGCGGCGACCUGGUGAGUAACACGUAGGUAAUCUGCCCUUUAGUGGGGAAUAGCUCCUGGAAACAGGGAUUAAUGCCCCAUAGUCCUUUUUAUCAUAAGUUAAAAAGGUAAAGCUCCGGCGCUAAAGGAUGAGCCUGCGGUACAUUAGCUAGUUGGUGGGGUAAUGGCCUACCAAGGCAAUGAUGUAUAGCCGGCCUGAGAGGGCGACCGGCCACAUUGGGACUGAGAUACGGCCCAGACUCCUACGGGAGGCAGCAGCUAAGAAUCUUCCGCAAUGGACGCAAGUCUGACGGAGCGAUGUCGCGUGAGGGAUGAAGGUCUUCGGAUUGUAAACCUCUUUUCUAUACGAAGAAUGACUGACAGUAGUAUAGGAAUAAGCCUCGGCUAAUUACGUGCCAGCAGCCGCGGUAAUACGUAAGAGGCAAACGUUGUUCGGAUUCACUGGGCGUAAAGGGUGAGUAGGCGGAACUAUAAGUCUGAGGUGAAAGAUCGGAGCUUAACUUCGGGAACGCCUUGGAUACUAUAGUUCUGGAGUAUGUUAGAGGAUGACGGAAUUCCUGGUGUAAGGGUGGAAUCUGUAGAUAUCAGGAAGAACACCAAUGGCGAAGGCAGUCAUCUGGGGCAUAACUGACGCUGAAUCACGAAAGCUAGGGGAGCAAACGGGAUUAGAUACCCCGGUAGUCCUAGCCGUAAACGUUGUACACUAGGUGUACGUGGGUUUACCACGUGUGCCGCAGCAAACGUAUUAAGUGUACCGNCUGGGGAGUAUGCUCGCAAGGGUGAAACUCCAAGGAAUUGACGGGGGCCCGCACAAGCGGUGGAGCAUGUGGUUUAAUUCGAUGAUACGCGAAAAACCUUACCUGGGCUUGAAUGCCUUCGGAAUAGAUAGGAGAUUAUUAGCUCUUCGAAGCGUUUGUCCCGGUGCUGCUUGGGUGUCGUCAGCUCGUGUCGUGAGCUGUUGGGGUUAGGUCCCGGAACGAGCGCAACCCUUACCCUUUGUGGCCAUCAGGUUAAACUGGGCACUUUGAGGGAACAGCCGCUGACAAGGCGGAGGUAGGUGGGGAAGACGUCAAGUCCUCAUGGCCCUUAUGUCCAGGGCUACACACGUGUUACAAUGGCUGGUACAAAGAGAAUCAAUGCCGUGAGGUGGAGCAAA
RNAcentral lists this ribosomal RNA (1230 nucleotides) under uncultured organism. RNAcentral's name for it is "bacterial SSU rRNA". It matches the Rfam family "Bacterial small subunit ribosomal RNA", at positions 19 to 1271 of the family's 1533-position model. The record is from RNAcentral.